CCUACGGGGGGCUGCAGUGGGGAAUAUUGGACAAUGGGGGCAACCCUGAUCCAGCCAUGCCGCGUGUGUGAAGAAGGCCCUCGGGUUGUAAAGCACUUUCAGUGAGGAAGAACGCCUGGUGGUUAAUACCCAUCAGGAAAGACAUCACUCACAGAAGAAGCACCGGCUAACUCCGUGCCAGCAGCCGCGGUAAUACGGAGGGUGCGAGCGUUAAUCGGAAUUACUGGGCGUAAAGCGCGCGUAGGUGGCUUGAUAAGCCGGUUGUGAAAGCCCCGGGCUCAACCUGGGAACGGCAUCCGGAACUGUCAAGCUAGAGUGCAGGAGAGGAAGGUAGAAUUCCCGGUGUAGCGGUGAAAUGCGUAGAGAUCGGGAGGAAUACCAGUGGCGAAGGCGGCCUUCUGGACUGACACCGACACUGAGGUGCGAAAGCGUGGGUAGCAAACAGGAUUAGAUACCCCUGUAGUC
This 465-nucleotide ribosomal RNA is filed under the name Vreelandella stevensii. RNAcentral describes it as "partial 16S ribosomal RNA". It matches the Rfam family "Bacterial small subunit ribosomal RNA", at positions 338 to 795 of the family's 1533-position model. The record is from RNAcentral. Lineage: Bacteria; Pseudomonadati; Pseudomonadota; Gammaproteobacteria; Oceanospirillales; Halomonadaceae.